GUGAUGGCAUCUUGGCGGUCGGAAAAGACGGUAAAACUGAUAACGCGAUGAGUACGGAAUUGCCCUCGCACCAUUUACAGCCGAGAGUCGCAAAACGAAUUGCAGUAACUGUAACUAAAGCCUCUGUUACCAGAGCGCUAUCAGCGGGCACUACUACAAUGCUGCUAUCCAAAAAAAAAAAGCAAGACCAUUGCACAAGAUCAUCAACCUUUAACAGCAUAAUACUUCUUUCUUUGAAUAGUCCAGUGAUCUGAUUUAACUAAAUCCAGAAGCAAUUAUAUCUAUGAGAUGGUUGUAUUGAAGCUCAUAGAUAUCAGAGUAAUCAGCUAACUGUUGUUUGAUCCAACAGAUGGUUCAGGUUCCAACUGGUAAGACCGAAACAGAGGAAGAAUGUAGCUUCAUGAGUCUGCUAAAAAAGAACAUAGAUUUCCAAUACUGAGCGUGUUGCGUUUGAUUCAACACAUUUAAAUAUCAACAACAAAUGCAGCAGAACAUUCAGUGCUUCCAAUCACACGCUUACAAUUGG
RNAcentral lists this long non-coding RNA (526 nucleotides) under Phoenix dactylifera (date palm). Its description in RNAcentral is "long non-coding RNA (PDAC_LNC022513)". The record is from RNAcentral. Lineage: Eukaryota; Viridiplantae; Streptophyta; Magnoliopsida; Arecales; Arecaceae.